This is a long non-coding RNA of Oncorhynchus tshawytscha (Chinook salmon), 402 nucleotides long. Lineage: Eukaryota; Metazoa; Chordata; Actinopteri; Salmoniformes; Salmonidae. The record is from Ensembl.
AGUAACCAGCAGGUAGCCUAGUGGUUAGAGUGUCGGGCCAGUAACCAGCAGGUAGCCUAGUGGUUGGAGUGUUGGGCCAGUAACCAGCAGGUAGCCUAGUGGUUAGAGUGUUGGGCCAGUAACCAGCAGGUAGCCUAGUGGUUAGAGCGUUGGGCCAGUAACCAGCAGGUAGCCUAGUGGUUAGAGCGUUGGGCCAGUAACCAGCAGGUAGCCUAGUGAUUAGAGCGUUGGGCCAGUAACCAGCAGGUAGCCUAGUGGUUAGAGCAUUGGGCCAGUAACCAGCAGGUAGCCUAGUGGUUAGAGCGUUGGGCCAGUAACCAGCAGGUAGCCUAGUGGUUAGAGCGUUGGGCCAGUAACCAGCAGGUAGCCUAGUGGUUAGAGCGUUGGGCCAGUAACCAGCAG